CAGCCGCCGCGGGAAUACAGAGGGUGCGAGCGUUAAUCGGAUUUACUGGGCGUAAAGCGUGCGUAGGCGGCUUCUUAAGUCGGAUGUGAAAUCCCUGAGCUUAACUUAGGAAUUGCAUUCGAUACUGGGAAGCUAGAGUAUGGGAGAGGAUGGUAGAAUUCCAGGUGUAGCGGUGUAAUGCGUAGAGAUCUGGAGGAAUACCGAUGGCGAAGGCAGCCAUCUGGCCUAAUACUGACGCUGAGGUACGAAAGCAUGGGGAGCAAACAGGAUUAGAUACCCCCGUAGUCCCUGUCUCUUAUAC
Molecule: ribosomal RNA, 301 nt
Filed under: uncultured bacterium
Lineage: Bacteria
Description: partial 16S ribosomal RNA
Rfam family: Bacterial small subunit ribosomal RNA
Source: RNAcentral